GUUUAGGGGUAAACCUGAGAAACCCGAAAGGUCGAAGGGAGAAAUUCAUUCGCGUUUUGACGUUAACAUUGGAUGGUGUUUGUGUGACGAAAUUUUGAAUGUGCAUCUCGUGUGUAUAUUCGUUUUUCGCACCCGCUAUUCAAUGAGUUCGACGACAAACGUGUGCACUUUUCUCCUGGUAGGACGUCGCAAUCCGUUGGACGUUGGUCUACGGCACACAGUGGAGCCCGUUUAUCGCACUUUGUGUUUGUAUAGACGAACCUGUGUGUGUUUCCUGGCCAACUUGUUCGACGGUAUAAAUAUGGUUUGAGACCGCUCUCAUUAUUAUGGAGCGUCUGACUUAUGACAAGCGCGUCAGAUGUUUGUUGGCAAUCGGACCUAGUGCCGAUUCUGACCUCUGAUGACUGUUGGUUAUAAUGUUCUUGGACAGAUCUCAUGGGAAACUUAAUUGUUUCUUAACCGUUUAGCGGCGCUAUAGCUUUGGGUAAUUUCAGGACCCGUCUUGAAACACGGACCAAGGAGUCUAGCAUGUACGCGAGUCAUUGGGAUUUUAAUGAAACCUAAAGGCGUAAUGAAAGUAAAGAUUUUCCUUGCGAAGAUCGAGGGAAGAUGAGUAUUUAUUUAUUUAAAUGCUUCGCACUCCCGGGGCGUCUCAUUCUCAUUACGAGUCGAGGCGCACCAAGAGCGUACACGCUGGGACCCGAAAGAUGGUGAACUAUGCCUGGUCAGGACGAAGUCAGGGGAAACCCUGAUGGAGGUCCGUAGCGAUUCUGACGUGCAAAUCGAUCGUCGGAACUGGGUAUAGGGGCGAAAGACUAAUCGAACCAUC
RNAcentral lists this ribosomal RNA (829 nucleotides) under Phloeotribus spinulosus. Its description in RNAcentral is "eukaryotic LSU rRNA". It matches the Rfam family "Eukaryotic large subunit ribosomal RNA", at positions 407 to 944 of the family's 3401-position model. Lineage: Eukaryota; Metazoa; Arthropoda; Insecta; Coleoptera; Curculionidae. The record is from RNAcentral.